GAUGAACGCUCGCUACAGGCUUAACACAUGCAAGUCGAGGGGAAACGCCAUCGAAAGCUUGCUUUUGAUGGGCGUCGACCGGCGCACGGGUGAGUAACGCGUAUCCAACCUGCCCAUCACUUGGGGAUAACCUUGCGAAAGUAAGACUAAUACCCAAUGAUAUCUCUAGAAGACAUCUGAAAGAGGUUAAAGAUUUAUCGGUGAUGGAUGGGGAUGCGUCUGAUUAGCUUGUUGGCGGGGUAACGGCCCACCAAGGCAACGAUCAGUAGGGGUUCUGAGAGGAAGGUCCCCCACAUUGGAACUGAGACACGGUCCAAACUCCUACGGGAGGCAGCAGUGAGGAAUAUUGGUCAAUGGGCGAGAGCCUGAACCAGCCAAGUAGCGUGCAGGAAGACGGCCCUAUGGGUUGUAAACUGCUUUUAUAAGGGAAUAAAGUGAGAGUCGUGACUCUUUUUGUAUGUACCUUAUGAAUAAGGACCGGCUAAUUCCGUG
RNAcentral lists this ribosomal RNA (492 nucleotides) under uncultured bacterium. RNAcentral describes it as "partial 16S ribosomal RNA". It matches the Rfam family "Bacterial small subunit ribosomal RNA", at positions 28 to 507 of the family's 1533-position model. The record is from RNAcentral.